Aegilops tauschii subsp. strangulata is the source of this 293-nucleotide non-coding RNA. The record is from RefSeq and is a predicted model, not a curated record. NCBI's taxonomy places the organism in Eukaryota, Viridiplantae, Streptophyta, Magnoliopsida, Poales, Poaceae.
CUUGCCUGCUGCCCUACCAAAGCAAAAUUAGGUUAUUUGUGAAUGAACAUUACCUCUUCAGCAAUCUGAUGGAUUUACAGGCUUGUUUGUUUCGUUGGUGGCUUGCUGCUCGGGUUCUUUGUUGAUUUUGUUGGAUGUGUGUGCUGUUUACCAACAAGGAGCUUCAGAAGGGUUGCUCACCAAUGAACUAGAAGAUUGUUUUGUCCUGGGCACUCACAUGAUUAAGGAAGAAAUUGGUUAUUCCUGGAUGUGCUAUGCAGAUCAAAGAUUUUGCAGGUUAUUUAGCCAUUCCC